This 505-nucleotide ribosomal RNA is filed under the name uncultured soil bacterium. Its description in RNAcentral is "bacterial SSU rRNA". It matches the Rfam family "Bacterial small subunit ribosomal RNA", at positions 26 to 520 of the family's 1533-position model. The record is from RNAcentral.
AGAUUGAACGCUGGCGGCAUGCCUUACACAUGCAAGUCGAACGGUAGAGUAGCAAUACUUGUGAGUGGCGAACGGGUGAGUAAUAUAUCGGAACGUGCCCAGUCGUGGGGGAUAACGUAGAGAAAUUUACGCUAAUACCGCAUACGAUCUAAGGAUGAAAGCGGGGGACUCGCAAGAGCCUCGCGCGAUUGGAGCGGCUGAUAUCAGAUUAGGUUGUUGGUGAGGUAAAAGCUCACCAAGCCGACGAUCUGUAGCUGGUUUGAGAGAACGACCAGCCACACUGGGACUGAGACACGGCCCAGACUCCUACGGGAGGCAGCAGUGGGAAUUUUGGACAAUGGGCGCAAGCCUGAUCCGAGCAAUGCCGCGUAGCAAGGAAGAAGGCCUUCGGUUAGUAAACGUGACGUUUUGACGGUAACGAAACGGUCGUAGGUUAACGUACCGUCGGACUAAGUGAACGUACCGUAAGAAUAAGCACCGCUAACGACGUGACCAGACACGCCGA